GCGGCCGAUAUCUGAUUAGCUAGUUGGUGGGGUAAAGGCCUACCAAGGCGACGAUCAGUAGCGGGUCUGAGAGGAUGAUCCGCCACACUGGGACUGAGACACGGCCCAGACUCCUACGGGAGGCAGCAGUGGGGAAUUUUGGACAAUGGGCGCAAGCCUGAUCCAGCCAUGCCGCGUGUCUGAAGAAGGCCUUCGGGUUGUAAAGGACUUUUGUCAGGGAAGAAAAAGCUGUUGCUAAUAUCGACAGCUGAUGACGGUACCUGAAGAAUAAGCACCGGCUAACUACGUGCCAGCAGCCGCGGUAAUACGUAGGGUGCGAGCGUUAAUCGGAAUUACUGGGCGUAAAGCGAGCGCAGACGGUUACUUAAGCAGGAUGUGAAAUCCCCGGGCUCAACCUGGGAACUGCGUUCUGAACUGGGUGACUAGAGUGUGUCAGAGGGAGGUAGAAUUCCACGUGUAGCAGUGAAAUGCGUAGAGAUGUGGAGGAAUACCGAUGGCGAAGGCAGCCUCCUGGGAUAACACUGACGUUCAUGCUCGAAAGCGUGGGUAGCAAACAGGAUUAGAUACCCUGGUAGUCCACGCCCUAAACGAUGUCAAUUAGCUGUUGGGCAACUUGAUUGCUUAGUAGCGUAGCUAAACGCGUGAAAUUGACCGCCCUGGGGAGUACC
RNAcentral lists this ribosomal RNA (668 nucleotides) under uncultured Neisseria sp. Its description in RNAcentral is "bacterial SSU rRNA". It matches the Rfam family "Bacterial small subunit ribosomal RNA", at positions 226 to 884 of the family's 1533-position model. Lineage: Bacteria; Pseudomonadati; Pseudomonadota; Betaproteobacteria; Neisseriales; Neisseriaceae. The record is from RNAcentral.